ACGAACGCUGGUCCCGUGCUUAACACAAGCAAGUCGAACGAUGAAGCCCUUCGGGGUGGAUUAGUGUCGACUGGGUGAGUAACACGUGGGCAAUCUGCCCUUCACUCUGGGACAAGCCCUGGAAACGGGGUCUAAUACCGGAUACGACUGCGGAAGGCAUCUUCUGCGGUGGAAAGCUCCGGCGGUGAAGGAUGAGCCCGCGGCCUAUCAGCUUGUUGGUGGGGUAAUGGCCUACCAAGGCGAUGACGGGUAGCUGGCCUGAGAGGGUGGUCAGCCACACUGGAACUGCGACACGGUCCAGACUCCUACGGGAGGCAGCAGUGGG
This 325-nucleotide ribosomal RNA is filed under the name uncultured bacterium. RNAcentral describes it as "bacterial SSU rRNA". It matches the Rfam family "Bacterial small subunit ribosomal RNA", at positions 29 to 358 of the family's 1533-position model. The record is from RNAcentral.